GACGAACGCUGGCGGCGCGCCUAACACAUGCAAGUCGAACGAGCGAGUGAGAGCUUGCUUUCUCAAGCGAGUGGCGAACGGGUGAGUAACGCGUGAGGAACCUGCCUCAAAGAGGGGGACAACAGUUGGAAACGACUGCUAAUACCGCAUAAGCCCACGACCCGGCAUCGGGUAGAGGGAAAAGGAGCAAUCCGCUUUGAGAUGGCCUCGCGUCCGAUUAGCUAGUUGGUGAGGUAACGGCCCACCAAGGCGACGAUCGGUAGCCGGACUGAGAGGUUGAACGGCCACAUUGGGACUGAGACACGGCCCAGACUCCUACGGGAAGCAGCAGUGGGGAAUAUUGCACAAUGGGGGAAACCCUGAUGCAGCGACGCCGCGUGGAGGAAGAAGGUCUUCGGAUUGUAAACUCCUGUUGUUGAGGAAGAUAAUGACGGUACUCAACAAGGAAGUGACGGCUAACUACGUG
This 466-nucleotide ribosomal RNA is filed under the name uncultured bacterium. RNAcentral describes it as "partial 16S ribosomal RNA". It matches the Rfam family "Bacterial small subunit ribosomal RNA", at positions 28 to 507 of the family's 1533-position model. The record is from RNAcentral.